AGUCAGUCACGCAGAAGUUUCUCUUUCGCUCUUCGCGCUACACACCCAGAUUGGCUUCCAGCGCGCAGGGCACAAGCCUGCUGGAGAACAGAGCCAACACAGAGAAAAUGGAUCCAGGAGAUGAAGAUGGAGAAACUGGGUGCUGAAGACCUUUGAGCUGUUUUUGGAGCUAGACUGAUCACUGGACUUUCAAAUCAUAUGAGUAAAACCUGGCUGUGCCCUGUUGAAAUCAAUUCUGUUGCAGUCAUAUGCGGUGGAAUCUGUUCUUCUUUUGCAUCCUACGUAACCAGACCAAGCUGUGGGUUCCUAGACCAGCUGCCGAAGCUACCUUUCCUGAGAACUAAAAUCCUUGCCUGAUUUCUGAACAAAUGGGGCCUCCACUUGAAAGAGUGGAUAGAGGAAUGGUUUUUGUGAUGGCAAGGAAUAGAGCCUGCCACAGCGGGCUAACAACCACACUCAUGAAGUUUCAUGGAGGAGAUCUUGCUUAUGUUGAAUUCAACAGAAGCCGACAGGUAAUACAGUUGAGAAAGGUUGAAAAGGCAGAGAGAGAGAGCUGCUUCUGCAAGUGUAUUGAACAAUCAAAGGCAAAUAAUUCGUUACAGCUGGGCAUUCUGUACAUGUAGAUUAGUGAGAGAUGACUGCAGAGGUCAGCAGACCUCGUGCCAUAAAGACAACAUGGAAGCAGGGAGUCAAGUUCUCAUACCUUUGGGCAUUCAUUCUGAAAUUGCUAAAGAAGCAAAUAAAUGUCUGUCUGGGCUUUCCCGCCAUACAUGACUGAGAAUAUCCAGACAUUUCUCUAUAUUAAAGAAAAAGGAGAGAGCAGUCAUUACUUAGAAUGUCUUUUUGUGCUUGCGCGCACGUGCUCUCUCUCUCUCUCUCUCCCCCUAGCUAAACCUUGGCUGGGGAGUUUUCUGCAUUUUGCUAAGCUAGAUUGUACUCAAUGGGUUAUAGAGCCCCAGAAGAUUUUUCAGCUACACUUCGCCCACUAAAACCUUUGGAGAAAAGAGGCUGAAUGCUUGCAGUGAAACUAGUCCUGCUACCCUAAUCAUUGUUGAUCAGGCCAAGAAACCAGUACCUGAACCCAAAUUUGUCCCAGUAAGAACUCACCAUAUUGGGUAAAGACAAACCAACAAAAUUAGAUCUCCUCACCUUGAGAAGGGAAACUGAAUGAGAGAUGUAUGCUAGAAAUGUCAGUAGCAGAAGCAACGUGCAGAGGAGGAAGGAGAGAGGGCAGAGGAGGAAGGAGAGAGGGCAGAGGGAAAGAGCUAGAGAGAAAAAGAAAAAGAGGAAAGUGAACAACAGCUGGGCUCUGGAAAUUAACAUAAUAAGUCUCUGGCUAUUGGAAACUGAGGAGGAAAAAAGAACACAGAAAGUGUCAAUCAACUCUCAGACAAUUCUUUAGUGACAUGGACCAUAUUAUCAUGAUUAUCUUCAGUUCAUAGGAAUCAUUAAAUCUAUUCCCAAAAUGCAAUCUAAUAUUCUCCCAAGGAAUAUAAUAUAUUCAAAUAAAAUUAUUGACAAAGGUUACAAUCGUAAAUUAUUUAUCAGGUUGAAUUACUCCCCACCUUCCAGGGAAGUCUCAGGUUGAGGUCUUUGGAAAUAGUCAUGCCACUGUUUCCUCUUUGAGUUUAUGGUUAAUGGCACAGAGAGAAGUCUUUUCUUCCCUGGGUAGUUCUGAGUAAGAAAACAAUAGUCAAACUUGAAUGUAAUCACUGAGGCAACAAGAGAAAGAAAAGUAAUGUUUAGUUAACAGAACUGCAGACCGGAAGAGACAGGAUUCAUGGAUCUGCCAAGGUGAGGAAUACAGCCUGAAAUGCAAAUAGAAGCAGAUUGGAGAACAGGAAAGAAACUUCUGGAGAAAGCAGGCAAAGGGACCUGUUCCAAUGGAAGCACACUUUAUGUCUCCCAGAAUAGUAGUUCCCCAUCCUGGCUUCCUGUCAGAAUUACCUGCAGUUCGUUUCAAAAAAAACACAUUUCCAGAACUUGCUCAAUUCCUGCUGAAUCAAAAUAUGACUUUUUAUGCAGCUGGCCUGUCACCUACACAUGAUGAACUUUUUCCUGUCCAGAGGAAAAUAUCCAUGAUGAUGGCAAAAGUCCUUUCUUGAGAGCUGUCUUUUAUUCUCGGACUAAGGUCAUCUUAAUUUUUUAUUAUAAUAUUCUUCCUUUUAUGAAAUUGUUAUGACAAAACAUGAUGAGGUUUUUUUUAAUGUUCUUACUUAGCAAAAUAAAAAUUAGCAAAACUAUUGCUAGGUCUAUGACCUUGGAUGGUUCACCAAAAUCACCAUCACUAGUUCCUGAUUUUAAAAUCAGAGUAGUAAAACCUGGCUGGGCACGGUGGCUCACACCUGUAAUCCAAGCACUUUGGGAAGCCAAGGCAGGUGGAUCGCCUAAGGUCAGGAGUUGGGAGACUAGCCUGGCCUAACACGGUGAAACCCUGUCUCUACUAAAAAUAUAAAAAGUAGCCUGGCGUGGUGGCGAGCACCUGUAAUCCCAGCUACUCCGGAGGCUGAGGCAGGAGAAUCACUUGAACCCGGGAGGCAGAGGUUGCAGUGAG
This 2554-nucleotide long non-coding RNA is filed under the name Homo sapiens (human). RNAcentral's name for it is "non-protein coding lnc-GPD2-1:7". Lineage: Eukaryota; Metazoa; Chordata; Mammalia; Primates; Hominidae. The record is from RNAcentral.